This 246-nucleotide ribosomal RNA is filed under the name uncultured bacterium. RNAcentral's name for it is "partial 16S ribosomal RNA". It matches the Rfam family "Bacterial small subunit ribosomal RNA", at positions 1066 to 1320 of the family's 1533-position model. The record is from RNAcentral.
CGUGAGAUGUUGGGUUAAGUCCCGCAACGAGCGCAACCCUUAUCCUUAGUUGCUACGAAGGGCACUCUAGGGAGACUGCCGGUGACAAACCGGAGGAAGGUGGGGAUGACGUCAAGUCCUCAUGGCCCUUAUGUGUAGGGCUUCACACGUCAUACAAUGGUCGGUACAGAGGUCGCCAACCCGCGAGGGGGAGCCAAUCCCAGAAAACCGAUCGUAGUCCGGAUUGCAGUCUGCAACUCGACUGCA